UACGUAGGGCGCAAGCGUUAUCCGGAAUUAUUGGGCGUAAAGAGCUCGUAGGCGGUUUGUCGCGUCUGCCGUGAAAGUCCAGGGCUCAACCCUGGGAUGCCGGUCGAUACUGCCGGACUAGAGUUCGGAAGAGGCGAGUGGAAUUCCCGGUGUAGCGGUGAAAUGCGCAGAUAUCGGGAGGAACACCAAUGGCGAAGGCAGCUCGCUGGGACGUUACUGACGCUGAGACGCGAAAGCGUGGGGAGCAAACAGG
Molecule: ribosomal RNA, 253 nt
Filed under: uncultured bacterium
Lineage: Bacteria
Description: partial 16S ribosomal RNA
Rfam family: Bacterial small subunit ribosomal RNA
Source: RNAcentral